This 492-nucleotide ribosomal RNA is filed under the name uncultured bacterium. RNAcentral's name for it is "partial 16S ribosomal RNA". It matches the Rfam family "Bacterial small subunit ribosomal RNA", at positions 29 to 507 of the family's 1533-position model. The record is from RNAcentral.
AGUGAACGCUGGCGGUAGGCCUAACACAUGCAAGUCGAACGGCAGCACAGUAAGAGCCUGCUCUUACGGGUGGCGAGUGGCGGACGGGUGAGGAAUACAUCGGAAUCUACUUUUUCGUGGGGGAUAACGUAGGGAAACUUACGCUAAUACCGCAUACGACCUACGGGUGAAAGCAGGGGAUCUUCGGACCUUGCGCGAUUGAAUGAGCCGAUGUCGGAUUAGCUAGUUGGCGGGGUAAAGGCCCACCAAGGCGACGAUCCGUAGCUGGUCUGAGAGGAUGAUCAGCCACACUGGAACUGGGACACGGUCCAGACUCCUAAGGGAGGCAGCAGUGGGGAAUAUUGGACAAUGGGCGCAAGCCUGAUCCAGCCAUACCGCGUGGGUGAAGAAGGCCUUCGGGUUGUAAAGCCCUUUUGUUGGGAAAGAAAAGCAGCAGGUUAAUACCCCGCUGUUCUGACGGUACCCAAAGAAUAAGCACCGGCUAACUUCGUG